Molecule: non-coding RNA, 1341 nt
Organism: Physcomitrium patens
Lineage: Eukaryota; Viridiplantae; Streptophyta; Bryopsida; Funariales; Funariaceae
Source: RefSeq, a predicted model, not a curated record
CCCAGUUCACAUGGAGAUAUAUACACUGGCAGGACGGAUUGAUUCACGCUUGUCUCUCGGGAUCCGCCUCGAAGGCAAAGUUGGUCAGAAACUGGAUCUGUUGAUGCUCUGGUUUCUAGAGAAGUCGAUGCAGAUGGGGUUGUGUGAUGUGGGUUUCACUGUGCUGUGUUCUCAAAGCUCUGAGUUUCACACCCUCCUUGCAGGUCUGAACAUGGGGAGUCUCUCCCAUCUUGAGACACUAAUGUUCGUUUUUGCAGGUGGGUUUGAUCAGGACUUGAGGCUGCUGCAGAGUGAGCUGCAGGACUGAAAUGGAUUGUGUUCUGCUCGGGUACCAGUAAACGGCAACAUGCAGCAGGGCUUGAUGCGUUUUGAGAUCAACAUUUCUGUCUGCCCCAAGGGGUCGAAAAAUAGUUUGAAUGCCAUUGGAUUUUAAUAUGACUCCCAAAUUGCUCGCUUGAAGGAAGGUGACUAAAUGAAGAAAGAAUCGAGGCUUUAGGAAGUUUGUUCUCAGAGAGGCUUCGGUAUGCAUACUGAAGAUUACAGAAACUUUCCAAAACCAGUGAUUAUCUUUUCUCAGAGGUAUAUGGACACAACUAAGGACAACUCAUCCGAGCUUCCUGUCGGGAAACGCCAGCGCUAUGAGACCUUGGGCCACUCUUUGCAAGGCAAACUUGUGCUUGCCAACGACGUUGAUGUAAUUAUUUAUGAAUUUAAUAACUCAUGCUAUUCAAAUUCCAAAGUACAGCAGAGAUUACUGUAGUUUGAGCUUCACGACAAGUACUGAAAGCAGCGGCUACCCCGAGAGCGACUCUACGCCACAAGGCUCCGGACAAUUCCAGACACGUCAUCUUCAAAAUGGUACUCUCUUGGGAUUCGAGCUACAUCGCCACUUCGAUUGAGUUACUAUGAUAUGUUGAUGUAGAAUAUUGUGCUUAGUGGAGUGGGAACCACGAGUCGAGUACUAGAUAUAAUCUCUUUGGACUCAUUACGUCGUCUCAGCAUUUCACAACACAAUAGACUGGAAAUAAGCCAGGCUGGUAAUGCCGAACGCAGCUAAAAUCCGCAGUCUUGGCGAUAGGAACAGUGGCGGUUUUAUGCUGUGGUUGCACUGAGAUUGCAAAGUUGUAAUUAAGAAGAACGUGGUUCUAUUAAUACAUAAUGUACCCAAUGUAAUACUAGUAUUAAAAAUAAAAUACAAGUAAAAUAAAAGAAUAAAAAACUAAAAAGAUCAAAACUCUUAAGUAUAUUUGAGAAGGGAGCUAGGAGCUGUGCAACAAUCUGUUUUGUAAUGGGAGGUACUGGUUAAUGCUGAAAAGAAGCCUAUCAGAUGAUGUUAAACUG